RNAcentral lists this ribosomal RNA (250 nucleotides) under uncultured bacterium. RNAcentral describes it as "partial 16S ribosomal RNA". It matches the Rfam family "Bacterial small subunit ribosomal RNA", at positions 779 to 1025 of the family's 1533-position model. The record is from RNAcentral.
UAGAUACCCUGGUAGUCCAUGCCGUAAACGUUGGGCACUAGGUGUGGGGAACAUUCCACGUUUUUCCGCGCCGUAGCUAACGCAUUAAGUGCCCCGCCUGGGGAGUACGGCCGCAAGGCUAAAACUCAAAGGAAUUGACGGGGGCCCGCACAAGCGGCGGAGCAUGCGGAUUAAUUCGAUGCAACGCGAAGAACCUUACCAAGGCUUGACAUGUUCCAGACCGCCUCAGAGAUGGGGUUUCCCUUCGGGG